RNAcentral lists this ribosomal RNA (587 nucleotides) under uncultured bacterium. Its description in RNAcentral is "bacterial SSU rRNA". It matches the Rfam family "Bacterial small subunit ribosomal RNA", at positions 338 to 916 of the family's 1533-position model. The record is from RNAcentral.
CCUACGGGAGGCAGCAGUAGGGAAUCUUCCGCAAUGGACGAAAGUCUGACGGAGCAACGCCGCGUGAGCGAUGAAGGCCUUCGGGUCGUAAAGCUCUGUUGUCAGGGAAGAACAAGUACCGGAGUAACUGCCGGUACCUUGACGGUACCUGACCAGAAAGCCACGGCUAACUACGUGCCAGCAGCCGCGGUAAUACGUAGGUGGCAAGCGUUGUCCGGAAUUAUUGGGCGUAAAGCGCGCGCAGGCGGUUCCUUAAGUCUGAUGUGAAAGCCCACGGCUCAACCGUGGAGGGUCAUUGGAAACUGGGGGACUUGAGUGCAGAAGAGGAAAGCGGAAUUCCACGUGUAGCGGUGAAAUGCGUAGAGAUGUGGAGGAACACCAGUGGCGAAGGCGGCUUUCUGGUCUGUAACUGACGCUGAGGCGCGAAAGCGUGGGGAGCAAACAGGAUUAGAUACCCUGGUAGUCCACGCCGUAAACGAUGAGUGCUAAGUGUUAGGGGGUUUCCGCCCCUUAGUGCUGCAGCUAACGCAUUAAGCACUCCGCCUGGGGAGUACGGCCGCAAGGCUGAAACUCAAAGGAAUUGACGG